CUUUUCUCAGUUCCCACUCCUUGCGUCAGGACUCCCCUCAAAUGAUGAAUUUACAAAGGAACCUGUUAACAGAGUAAUAAACUCGGCCUCCCCACCCAGUGCCUGUCAGCACUCCCACCCAAGACCUCCAGUCUCCACAUGGCUCCUUUUCUCUUUUCCUCUCUUGUCUCUCUAUCACCCAGAGCCCUUUUCAUGUACGGCAAUAUCUCACAUGGGGACAUCCUCAAUUCCCAAAUGACCUCAGGGAAACCUGACAUUUGCCCCUGACACUAAAACUUACCAAAAAUGAAAAAAAAAAAAAAUAGAAUUUCUAUGCACAAGUCUCCUUGAAUUUGGAAGCCAAGGAAAUAUUUUCUGCUAUUGCUACAGAUAGACUGAAGAAAGUUCUACUUGGAAAAACCAGAGCUGUCUGAAGAAUGUAGGGGAGUGAUGGAUAACAAAUUUCCUUUUGGGAGGUGAGGGCUGAUGUAUAAAAUGCUACUGUAAAACCAAGCUUCCUGAUGGGAAUGGAAAUGAAAGGAUCCAGAACUAAUGGAGACCAGGUAGCAGCACUUGGUCAUCAGAAGCAAGGUUUGUGCCAGAGUCCUGCAUAAUGAAGCCUCUGAAGAAGAAAGGGCAAGAGCAGAAGCAAAUAUGCAAUUUUUCCUAAAACCGCUAUGUGAUAUUGAAAGCAUCAGCUUUGGGGCCCAUGUAAUGGUGUACCAUGGCCAAGGGUAGAAAAUUUUCCUUUACUUCAGCAGGAUCUUGAACUGGGAGAUGAAUCUAACGUAAGAUGCAAAGCAGGAGAGGUCAUAACAGCCAGACUACUCUGACUAGUCUAUAUCUGGAGUUGUUUGGAAGUCCCAGAGGACAGAGGACAUACUGCAUCAUGGAGAAUCCGAUGGGGUGAGGAAGAUUCAACAUCACUAUAACAGAUAUAUGGCCAAAGACAAAAAUUGAGAAAACAGUGGUACAAUAAGGUAAUAAGAGGCCAGCAUUCCCAAGUACAUAUGUGAGAAAAUUGAAGAGUUCAGCUAGUGGCCAGGAGGACUGUUUACAUGACCACAUAUGGAUUUCUUGAAAUACUUGAGAAAUUUAAGAAGAUCAAGUCUCCACAGUUUUUUAGAUGACAGCUGAGCCAGGAAAUACUGCCAUGUUAUAAUUCUCCCGAUCUAGUUUACCCCCAGGUUAAAUUGGCUGGAUUGGAACAAAACUGAUUUCUCAUCAGUGGCUUCAGUGGCUUACCUGUCUUCUAGAGUGGGAAAGCAUAAAGACAGAAUUAAUAACAUGAAUUCUAAAUGGUUUUUCUGUUUCAUUCAACAAAGACUGUGGAUAGGAAUAAUGCCUAGUAUAAACUUAGAUGCUUUUCCAAUGAGAAGAAUCUGGUAUAUUUUCUCUUGUCACUCAUCAUAAAAUAUCUCUGAUGAGUGAAUUAAACAAACUGAAGCAAACUACAGACCCUCUGGUUUUGAGGAAAUGUUAUAAACAGGUUUGAGUUUCAGUCCCAGCUCUGCCACUCUCUCACACAGUGACCUUUCUCAAGUCACAAAACUGCUGUGUCCCUCAGCUUACCAUCUGCAAUGGGAAAAUUAUAACAUUCUAGGAUCUUAAGCGUGCCACUCCAAAGAAAAUUGUGCCUGCAAAGAAAUAUGUUUCCACUUAUUGAAGUGGCUAAAUAGUCAAUCAUCAGAUAAUUUUCUUUGGGAGAAAUCUUCAUAGCCAUCUUUGAAAAACAUCUGGCCUAGAGGACAGUGCCGAUGACUGUUUUAUGGUUUAAUGCUCCAAGCCUCCUUUCUAUUUGUUUUAACUGGCACACUACAGAAACCUCUUUAAUAAUUGCCCAAGUUAUUUUCAUAAAGAGAUUUUUGUGCCUUUCAGACUGCAUAAUUAAAUUUCAUGUGUGCGUAAGUAUGUGAGAUAGAUGAUGGAUGGAUGGAUAGAUGGAUACAUAGAUACAUAGAUAGAUCACAGCUCAGGUUUGAAUUCUGUAACUGUGCUCUCCCCACUUAGUGAUUUAGAAUAAGUCAAGCAUAGACUGAACAUAACCCACAUCUUUUAAAGAUGCUGUGUCCACUAAGCUUGUUCUAAAAUAAGUAAAUAGUUCCUAGGCAUGCUUGAUUGUUUAUUAUUUUAUUAUUUAACAUAAAAGAGAGAACUUAACAUGGAAGUAAUUUUCAGAUUAGUUACCCUGCAGCUGCUGAACCAGGAUAAAAAAAAAAAGCCCCAGGGAAGCCAUUGCCAGUAAUGAUGGCAUUUUUCACACAUUACUUGAAAGUGGAACAAAUAAGGAGUCUGGUGCUUUCCAAACAGAAGAAAAAAAAAAACUUGAAAUAAAAGCAAAAAUUGAAUAGAAGUAGCUGAAUGCUUCUCAUUCUCUGACAAGGUCGUUCAGUGUGGCUCAUGGGAUGAGUCUAUCAGCUAAGUCUCACAAAAAGGAAAUCCCAUUCUUUAUGUAUACCCUUCACUGGAAGCUAAAUGGGAGGAAGAGAAUGUAGUGGAAUGCAUGAGGAAAGAGCAUCUUUAUCCCUAGAAAAGGAACAAUUUUUAGUCUUCAUUUUGGUUAAAGAUUGGCUAUAGAUUUAACUCAGCUAUACUGAAAGAAAUAUUGCAUUUGACGUAGGGUGCCUAAUAAUCUAACCUAUGUGACAUUCACAUUUCCCAAUCAUGUUUGCCAAGAAGAAAUCAAGCUGCAUAGCCCUGAGGGCAAUUAGAGAGGUAAGAGGGACACUGUUUACUGGGCCUCAGAGUCCUGAUUAUAGAUCAUUAUUAUUCAUAUUGAGUAACAGAAUAAACACUGGUACAGGAGUUCAGGAACAUAAGUUCUAGAUGUGUAUCUGCUUGUUGGCUGUGUCUCCCUCAGAGUUGGAUUAGAUAAAAAUUAUGAUCCUUUAUAGUUCUACAUUCUAGAGUUUUUUUUUUUUACAAGGAGCCAUGAAUAUCUUUUGUAAAUAAAUCAUUUUUAAGUCUCUCACUGAAUGAAUAACAUUCAUGCACACUAGAAUGCAGUUGUUCUGAGGGCAACUAAAAUUAGAGUGAUGACCCCACAUUCUGUUUUAGGAGUCUUUGAACUGCUAAAUUAAUGACUGAUGGGCAAUGAAUAUAGGGGUCAUUUUGUUGAAGAGAAGAAAUACUGUUCCACAGUUUUCUUGGGGGAUAACCCUGGGCCCUUGUCUUGAUUUGAAAAGGUACUCAGAAUGCAGAACACAGAAUUUCAGUAGAUUAUGAGAAAGUGAGACAAUAGAAGUAAAGAAUGGAUAAUUAUGUUGGAUUACUUCGCAAUGAGCUACAAAUUAUUUAGUCCCAAGCUGUCCAAUAAGGCGGGUAGUUGUCACUUGGGUAUUAAGCACUUGGCUAGUAUGAGUUGAGAUGAACCAUAAGUGCAAAAUACACAUUGAUUUUGAAGACUUUGUAUAAAAAAACUAUGGAAAAUAUUUCAAUAACAAUAUUAAUUACAUGUUGAAAUGAUUAUAUUUUGGAUAAAAUAUAUUACUAACAUUAAUUUUACUGUUUUCUUUUUACUUUUUAAAAAUGUGCCUUUUCAAAAAUUUAAGAUCACUUCUGUGGCUCACCCUGCAUUUUUACCAGGUGGUGUUGAUUUAGACAUUUGCUGACCUUACAUGGACCCUGAAGGAUUUCUGUUCCCUAUUGCAUAGCCAAGAAACAAGACUGAGAUUGAAGGGUAGGGCUGGAAGUAGAGGGAAGAUAGAAGCAGAUUGGAAGGGAAAAAAACUAAUCGCUGUGCCUGGAGCUAUAUGGGUUCAUGCCAAAAUAUGUACUUGUAUUUGCAUCUAUUUGUUUCUUUGAUUGCAUUGUACAUGAAGGAAAUAUCAGUCUUGUUAUUUUUUGGUUUUGUUAUCCAAGUAUCUUCUCUCCCUUAUUAGGCUUAGUUAUUUUCUAACUAGAGACACUUUGAUUCAUAGAAAUAUGAAAUAUGAAUGUAUCUUCAGCUCUUCUUCCUCCUUAUUUCUAAAGCAGGGAAACCAGGAAAACAUGAGAGAUUCACAGGGGCCACCACCACAAGAGGUCUUUGGUAAUUGAUAUGCUCUAAUGGCGGUAGCAGACUUUGUGGGUUACUAAACACUUUCUAUCCUUUCUCCCUUUCAACAAUACCCCAGUUUUGACCAAGUAUUCAACCUAUUGGAUUUUUUACUUUUUAUUAUUUAUUAUAUAAAUCUAUUCAUAGAAAACAAAAUCUGAAUGACCAAUAAACAUAAGAUGCUUAAUAUCAGUAGUCAGGGUUAUUUAAAUUAAACCAAAGAAAAUGAAACGCAUUUCAAAUUCAUCAAAUUAAAAUUAUUUUAAAUUAUUUCAAGUGUAAAUUAUUUUAUUAAAAUUAUUUUAAAGAAUUUGGAGCCGUAGAUAUUCUCAUAAGCUGCUGGUGGAAGCAUACAUUGGCACAACUGAGAAGGAAAUUUAACAAUAUCUAGUAUAGUUGAUACUAUACGUUUCAACCUAGCAAUUCUUCCUCUGAAUAUUUACCCUAGACACAUGGAGAAGAAUGUUCAUAGCAGCAGUGUUUGCAAUACUCUAAUCAAUAUAAGAAUGUGG
This 4527-nucleotide long non-coding RNA is filed under the name Homo sapiens (human). Its description in RNAcentral is "HSALNT0090445". Lineage: Eukaryota; Metazoa; Chordata; Mammalia; Primates; Hominidae. The record is from RNAcentral.